GCCAGUUGCUGAUCUUCUGCUGUGUGGAGUUUGCAGGAAUAUAGUUGUGCAGGUCAACAAGUUUUGGGAAGAAGUAUUUGACAACCUCUGCAGCCAUCACUACAGAGAUUAGAGAGGAGCAGAGUCAGACCAAGUCGCCUUUUUUUGAUGCAGCACAUCAAACUCACAAUAACCAGGACCAUCAGCAGGAGUAAGCCAACCACCAGUGACACAAUAAACACCAUCAGACCUGCCUCUGCACAAACAAACAAUCACAUACACACACAUUGUGACAAUAUGCCUUCAUAUUGCUCGAGGAUGACUGCGUCACUCGCUCAUGAUGCAAAGCGCACUGUAACAUCAUUACUGCAUUUGUACCGACUGACCGGGGAAUUCAAUUAAAUCAGUGUUCAUCAGAACAGAGCACAAUUGUUUGUGAGUCCAUGAGAAAAUCUAUUUCAAGUAUUAAAUCUUGGUGGAAAAAAACGGAGCAGAAGAGGAAACAGACACAAACAGCCAUGUGUGAAGCAUGGCCAUUAAAAGGUCAAGCAU
This is a long non-coding RNA of Sebastes umbrosus (honeycomb rockfish), 531 nucleotides long. RefSeq lists it as uncharacterized. The transcript is spliced from 2 exons. NCBI's taxonomy places the organism in Eukaryota, Metazoa, Chordata, Actinopteri, Perciformes, Sebastidae. The record is from RefSeq and is a predicted model, not a curated record.